RNAcentral lists this ribosomal RNA (497 nucleotides) under uncultured bacterium. Its description in RNAcentral is "partial 16S ribosomal RNA". It matches the Rfam family "Bacterial small subunit ribosomal RNA", at positions 29 to 507 of the family's 1533-position model. The record is from RNAcentral.
AUGCACGCUGGCGGCGUGCCUAAUACAUGCCAGUCGCGCGAACGGACGAGAAGCUUGCUUCUCUGAUGUUAGCGGCGGACGGGUGAGUAACACGUGGAUAACCUACCUAUAAGACUGGGAUAACUUCGGGGAAACCGGAGCUAAUACCGGAUAAUAUUUUGAACCGCAUGGUUCAAAAGUGAAAGACGGUCUUGCUGUCACUUAUAGAUGGAUCCGCGCUGCAUUAGCUAGUUGGCAAGGUAACGGCUUACCAAGGCAACGAUGCAUAGCCGACCUGAGAGGGUGAUCGGCCACACUGGAACUGAGACACGGUCCAGACUCCUACGGGAGGCAGCAGUAGGGAAUCUUCCGCAAUGGGCGAAAGCCUGACGGAGCAACGCCGCGUGAGUGAUGAAGGUCUUCGGAUCGUAAAACUCUGUUAUUAGGGAAGAACAUAUGUGUAAGUAACUGUGCACAUCUUGACGGUACCUAAUCAGAAAGCCACGGCUAACUACGUG